GUAUGUGUAACUGGGUCACCAUGCUGUACAGUAGAAAAUUGACAGAACACUGUAAACCAGCAGUAAUGGAAAAAAAAUAAAAAUCAUUAUAUAAAAAAAGAAAUGGAAAAAAAUCUCAGUAGACAUAUAACAAGUAAAGAGAUUGAAUUCAUAAUUUAAAAAAAUUCCCACCAAGGAAAGCCGUUAGAUGGCAUCUCUGGUGAAUUUUACCAAAUAUUUAAAGAAAAAUGAAUACCCAUCUUUUACAAAGUCUUCAAAAAACAACAAACAAAAAAGAAGAACAUUUCCCAAUUUGUCAUGAGGCUAGUAUUACCCUGAUACAAAACCCAGACAAAGACAUCACAGGAAAAGAAAACUAUAUACCAUUAUUUCUCAUGAAUACAUAUAUAAAACUCUCAACAAAUACCAGCAAACUGAAUCCAUCAACAUGACCAAUUGAGAUUUAUUCCAGGAGAGCAAGGUUGGUUCAACAUAAAAAAAAUCGAUCAAGGAGUUCCCAUCACAGCUCAGUGGAAACAAAUCCAACUAGUAUCCAUGAGGAUACAGGUUUGGUCCCUGGCCUUGAUCAUUGGGUUAAGGAUCUGGCAUUUUGCCAUGAGCUGUGGUGUAGGUUGCAGACAUUGGCUCGGAUCCAUCAUUGCCGUGGCUGUGGAAAUAAGUUAUAUCCUAGAACAUUUUAUGUAAAUCUGACUUAAAAUUUAAAUAUAUUCACUGGCUAUCAAGAAAUUGUUGAAAUCAUAAGAAUAUAGAAAGAAUACUCAUAAGAAAAACAGCUUUAAGAAUUCAGGAUCACGAGUUCCCCCUGUGAUGCAGUGGGAUUGUUGGCAUCUUGGGAGCCCUGGGACACAGGUUUGAUCCUAGCCCAGCACAGUGGGUUAAGGAUCCUGUGUUGCUGAAGCUGCAGCUUAGAUUGCAGCUGUGGCUUGGAUAUGAUCCCUGGCCUGGGAACUUCAUAAUCCAGGGCAGCCAAAAAAAAGAUUUCAGGAUUAUAGGAGGAAAUAAUAUAUUUAUAAGAAAAAUAAAUGUUCCCAUGAUCCUUGGAUUUCAACAAAAUGGAGUCUUUAUAAUGCUGCCAGGAUUCAAGAGUUUCCCUUAAGACAAGUUUUUGGCAAACAAACAAACUUGGGAAAUUGGAUGAACUCAUCUGUUGGCACACUGACCACAAGCAGUGGUUCUCAAACUUUAGCUUUGGGGUGGGGGGGCUGUUAAACAAAGAUGGCCUGACCCACACCCAGGGGUUUUGCCCAGUAGGUCUGGAGUGGAGCCCAAGAAUCUGCAUUUCUGACAGUCUGAGAGCACGCUUUGAGAACCACCAAGCUGCAGUGGUGCCUGGUGGAGGCUGGCUGAAUGAAUGAGUCGAUGCCAGCCUGACAGGCCUUGCCUUGGCCAUCAGAACCCUCUGUGUGCCUGAAGGCCACUGUCCAGUCUGCCUUCCAUGCCUCUGGCAGCCUCAGGGCCCCUCCCUACUCCAGGGUCCCUGGAACAAGGGCCAGGCUCUCCUGUGACCAGGGCACGUGGAGGGUGAGGUCUCAGGGCCUGUGUCUCUGGAGCAUCAGCAGUCCCAAGACGCGAACCUCUGUCUCCUGGCAGCUGGACAGGUCCCAGAAGGCCACUGUCACCAGAUGAUCUGGCAGAAAAGGCAGCAGCCCUGACUGGUCCCUCAAAGUGCAGGGCAGUGCCAGGAGCUGCUCUGCUUCCCUGCAGCUGGGAGCAAAUCAUGGUGUCACUGCCCUGGGGCCCCAUGACUUGGGAACACCAGCCUUCCAGAAACAGCAGUGUUUGCGUGGGAUUCUCAUUUCCUGGCCAGACCACAGCUCACAGCAAAGUGGGUCCUACCAGACCCCAGAGGCCAGUGGGAGGGAAGCGGGAGGCCCAAAAUAGCCAAGGCCAGUGAUUACAGGGCUGGGCUGCCCCCACCCAGCUCCACACCCACCACUGCCCUCCGCAGGAGAACCGUGGUCCAGUGGGAUGGGCAGGCAGGCCAUGGAGGGGGACAGAAGAGUCUAGGAGGGCCUUAGGGGGUGCCUUGGCCAUCCCUGGGUCUGGUCCUGACUCUGCACGGCUAGAGGCAGGGGCCCUGAGGGUCACGUUACAUCCUGCAACCUUCCAUGGCCCAAGCCCAUCUGCCCUGUGACCUCUGCCCCUACCCCUCUGGGCUUCUGGUCCCAGACCUCCCUGCCCAGGGUAAGUGGAGUGGACAGACCCAGCCUUGUGGCUGGGGAGUAGCCUGGGCCAGGAAAGAGCAGCCACAGGCAAAACCACGGGCAGGUUCUGCUUUGAAAAAGGCAACAAAAAUAGCAAGAGGUUAUAGAGAGGGGAGGGGCUGAGGGUGCCAAAGACAGACAGAAUUGCGCACAAGGACAGGGACACAGACUGGGAGAAGGCAGACAAGAGACACAGGGAAACAACUGGAUGUUCGAAAGAGCACACAGCCAAGCAGGUGUGAAGGGGCCGGAAGCAAAGGGGUGAGCUGCCUGCGGUCAGGGGGAGCCCAGGACCCAGGCCCUGGGAACCACGAAGCCCAGACUCAAGAGCAGGCCUAGGGCUAGUAUGAGGCCCAGCCUGACACCCUCAGUUCUCUGCACAUGGCUGGCAGAUCCUGGGCGGCACAGGAGUGGGCAGGCAGUCUGGGGAGCCGGGCAGGCUGUACUCACCAACACACCUAUUCCUGGGGGAGAAACUGCUCUUAUCCCCACUGACAGAUGGGAAAACUGAGGCUCACAGAAGCAAAGAAACAUGCUGUGGCCUUACAGCAAGUGAGGGCCAGAAACAGGCUUGACCCCAGGCUCCUCUUGGGCUCCCACUCGCCCUGCACUCGAGCCCGCCCAGCCUCACCACUCCACAGGCUACAUGGGGACACCAAGAACAGAGAAACCAACAAACGGUCAUCAGCACAACUGCAUGGUACCGUGAGCCCCUUACCGCUCGGGGGAACCCUCAGCCCGGUGACCCCUGGCCCAGUGCGCAGAGGUUAUGACACAUGGUUUCUGGUUAAUAAGUUCUAGCUGGGCCAGUGUUGCAAGAUCAGACCAUUUAGACCAGCUUCCUGGCCCGUCUCUAGGGGACCUGGUGGCCCAGGGUCAGGGACGUUCCCAGUGGUCACCAAGCCCUUGGCAAGCGAAAGUCCUCCUGCCUCGUUUUCAUUUUCCCAAGAAGAUCUCUUCACUUGUCUUUGUUCCACACCCUCUGUGGGACCCUAACUGGGCAGGUCACUUCCACUGCAGCCUGGGCAGCUCUGCCAGGACAGUCACAGGCUUUUCCUGCCACCGUGGUGAUGGUAAAGCCCAUGUGAUGUCCCGCUGGCUCACGGCCAGUCCCAGUCCCAGUCUCUCAGGGCCUCCAGGUGUAUCCCCACCCUCCGCUGAGAACUUCAGCUCCAGCCCCCAGCGUCCUGUUGGCUUGUGAACAUAUUAGGUGCCUCCAGUUCAGGGCCUUUGCACUGACUCCUGCACAGACAGCCUGCGGAAACCUCUACACUUUAGGGUCAGCACUUCUUGUUGUUCGGAUCUCAACCCAAACAUCCCUCCAGACUGCCUCACAUCAAUUAACUCCCGGCUCAUCACUGCCAAGAUGGUGUAUGGGCUGAUGUCCAGCUGGUCAGCCCUGUGAAGAGGGGCCUCUCUUGUGUCUCACUUAGUGUCUGGGAAUACCUACUUCAAGACUGAUGACCCUUCCUAGCUGCUGCCCACCACCUUUCAACCGGGGCCAUCCUGCUGGGACACACAGAUGCUGAGGGCCCUAUUGAGGCUGUUUCCCUGGGCUCUGGACAGAAGGCCUAGCUAUGUCCUCUCCCCCUGCCGUUGGCACAGGCUCACUGGCUCCAGAAGGAGAAGAAAGUGGCUCUGGGAAGCAGAGGAAGCGCCCAUCACCACCCAGGGCCGGGGAAGCAGGGCUCCAGAGGGGCUGCCAGACCAGACACAAUGAGGUCACCUACUGGGUGGGAGGCUUGUGGCCAGGGAUAUUCACGAGGCAGGUGGGCCCAGCCUGGGCAAAGGCUAAGAAGCAGGGUGGGAGGCAGCUCCCUGACACACAGGUGGACAAAGCACAGAUGGUGACAAGGACUUGGCUUCCUGUCUCUCAAACCUUGGUAGAGGGGGUGGUAGAAGAGAUCUGUCCAGCAGGGGAGAACAGGUCACACACAGCCCCCUUCCAUAGAGGCCCUCCCCCGCACCCAUCCUGCACACCCCCACAGCCGGGGCUGAGCCCUGGGGGCUGGGAGCCACUGUGCCUGCCUGAUUCCAGGUCCAUGAGAGUGGGUGGACAGAGUGUCAUGACCACAGACACUAGGACCACAACCCAUGCUAUGAUGAAGGACACUUCACUCAGCUAAGACACAGGAGCUCUGCCAGGAGCCAGGAGCACCAGCCCCCUGGCAGCCAGCUCUGGGAACUCAUUGGGGGAUGGAAAGGCUGACCUGAGCUCCCUCUUGAAGGCUUGGGGAGGCUCAGGUCUGGACAGCUGUGUCUAGAUGUGGAGGAGACAGUGUGUGCAGCAGGGGGACUAGGAGGAGCACCAAGGCGGUCUCCCCCGCCUGGAUCAUCUGGUCCCCAAGCCCAGACAUAGUCCCAGCGGCUUCUGACUGGCCAAAGAAGCCCCUCAACCCCAGGAUGCAGGGGUGUCUUGGUGAAGCUAACUCCACCUCCCCAGAAGCCCUGUAAGGAAGAACCUGAGCAGGCCAUUUUAAAGAUGAGGAUACAGAGGCCUGAAAGGGCAGGGCCAGGUCACCCAGCAGGGAAGGCUGUGGUGUGAUUCUUAUCCAUCAACCCAGACCCAGCCAGGUGUGUCAGUGCUGCCCUAAAACAAGCCUCACCUCACCUCUUGGGCCACCCUGACCCCACACCUCAUGGUAUCCUCCCACCGGGGGCACAGGGGCUUCCCCCCUACGCCCUGUCUACCAGGCACCAACCCGGACUCCAGGGAUUCUCAAAGACCCCACAACGGGUAGGAGAGGAGGUGCAGAACCCUCCCCCAACACACACACAUACACACCAAGAAAAGGCAAACACAAACGCACUCCCACACCAACCCCCCCAACACACACACACACACACACGCACACACCCCCACGGCAGGAAAAAGCAAAGAAAGGCAGAGGUCAGAAUCUGCCCCAGGGCUUCCGAAGCCCCAGGCAGCCUGUUUAGCCAGCGGGUGAGACGGCCACGCCGUCCCUGUCUCUGAGGCCUUGGGAGACCCGGUCCCGAGGGGGAAGACGCUUGCGGGCAGCCGGGACACAGGCGGGGCAUCUGGAGCUUUUUGAGUCCACCCGCCCUGCCUCCCACCCCGGGAAGACACAUCAGCUGGCGCUGAGGAAUGCCCUACGGUACUUCCCCCCGCAUGUCCAGGAGCUACUGGCCCUCGAGUUCGUCUAGCAGCUGCAGCUAGCUGUACAGGUACAUCUACAUGUAUCGGUUCUGCCCUGACUUGGAAAUGAAGUGAGUGUGGGGUUGGGGGGGCAAGCUUCAGAGGCCAGAGUGGGGGGAUUGGGGGUGCUUCCCAGAGGUACCCUGCCCAGGUCGGGACGCAGCCAGAGGGGAGUGCAGGCCGUCCACUUUAGGAGGGCUGUGGCCACAUCCCCCGAGGGCCAGGCUUGGGGCUGCAGCUAGCCCUAGGCAGAAGGACCUGCCUUCCUCACAGUCCCCAGGGGAUGCUGCCUAGCCCUGUAUCACAUUCUGAGCACCAUUGUCCUUGAAAACACCAGAAGACCAGACUGUCUGGAACAACCCCACAAAGCAGGCACCGUGUCCCCUCGCUCCUGUCCAGGCCUGCUGGCCUGGCACCCUCUCCAGAAUUGCUCAGGAGCCCUGGUGGUGCAAAGGAAAGGACAGGUAAAUAAAGUCUGUCAGGAGGGGAAGCUUCAGCUUUGCUUUGCCAGCAGCUUUCUCCCUGUUGGAGCCUUCCAGGGACUGGGGGAGGGCAUGGGUGGGAUGGGGCUGAACUGCCCAUCCUAGGAAGGGCCAGCAAAGCACAAGUACUUCAGACCCACCUCCUGGCGGGAGCUCUGAGGUACCUCCUGUGGGGUGCCAGGGCUCACUGUCCAUACCUGAGCAGCCCGGGGCUGGGCCGAGGCCAGGCUGGGCCUGAGUUUUAGCAGGAAGGAGGCCUCUGCCCCCUGUCUUUUGUCAUGCCUGGCAGCUGGACUCCCUCGUAGGGCCGUGGAACAGUACCGCUGCUGGACUAAAGCCGCUGCAGCCAUCAUGCACAUGAUCAGGAACAACCUGGACCCUGCCUGCUGUGGCCCAGGCACAGCUCUGCUCCCAGCCCCCCGUCCACCCCUCUUUUCCGGUGAUUUCCAACUACCCCAGGAUAGAAGUGAGAAAUCUUUGCCAUGAGGAUUACCAUGUAAGAAAAUAUUCCCUAUACUAAGAAGACAGCAAUUGAGAUGGGAGCUAUGCAUUUGGGGUUCCCUGAAGAUGUAAACUACUUGGAAGUCAACAGAAUUUUGAAUCACCUGCUGAUCACCACUGCUGCUCUGUUAAAAGUGAAGCUUCAAACCUUAGCAAGGGACUGACUCCAGACAUCUUCCUGCAGGACCAGAUCAAAGGAAGAUGGAGUACUGGGGAGAGCAAAUGGAGGGUGAGGGAGACUGGUGGAUGAAAGUAGAAAACAAAAGUUUCAGGGCUCUUUGAAGAGGCAAUUAAGAAAAGUAAUCUGGACAACAAAGAAGGAAAAUCAGGACAAGAUUUAAUUAUGUCCCCAACUUUGCUAGUUGUGUUAGCCCAUGUGUAUUUUCCUGGAGAAAUGAGCAGUAAAAUCCUUCAGUAAUUACUGAAAUAAAAACAACUGAAUUUAAAAGUUAAGCUAAGAAAUCUUCAUUUAAUACUAAAAACAACACAAAAAGUCUUUGUUCUCAAAGACAACAAAGAGUAUGUGAGCUGAGAGGCUGAUGACCAGCUUGUCAAGAAGAGGUCAGAGACAGGAAAAGUGUUUGAAUGAAGAAAGGGGUAAACAGGAUACUACAGUGGGAGAGAAAAGAGUGUGCAAAUAAUAUAGAUUCAAAUCUAGACUAUGCCACUUCUGUGUUAUGAGAUCUUGGGCAGAAUACCAAAAUUCUUCAAGUCUUGCCUUCAUCACUAGCAAAAAAAAAAAAAAAAAAAAGAAGAAGAAUUAUUA
This is a non-coding RNA of Sus scrofa (pig), 7110 nucleotides long. Lineage: Eukaryota; Metazoa; Chordata; Mammalia; Artiodactyla; Suidae. The record is from RefSeq and is a predicted model, not a curated record.